UACGGGGGGGGCAAGCGUUGUUCGGAAUUACUGGGCGUAAAGGGCUCGUAGGUGGCCAACUAAGUCAUACGUGAAAUCCCCAGGCUCAACCUGGGAACUGCGUCUGAUACUGGAUGGCUUGAAUUCGGGAGAGGGAUGCAGAAUUCCAGGUGUAGCGGUGAAAUGCGUAGAUAUCUGGAGGAAUACCGGUGGCGAAGGCGGCAUCCUGGACCGAUAUUGACACUGAGGAGCGAAAGUCAGGGGAGCAAACGGG
RNAcentral lists this ribosomal RNA (253 nucleotides) under uncultured bacterium. RNAcentral describes it as "partial 16S ribosomal RNA". It matches the Rfam family "Bacterial small subunit ribosomal RNA", at positions 524 to 776 of the family's 1533-position model. The record is from RNAcentral.